ACGACGUAUAGGGUCUGACGCCUGCCCGGUGCCUGAAGGUUAAAAGGAGGGGUGAGAGCUCCGAAUUGAAGCCCAGGUAAACGGCGGCCGUAACAAUAACGGUCCUAAGGUAGCGAAAUUCCUUGUCGGGUAAGUUCCGACCUGCACGAAUGGUGUAACCAUGGCCACGCUGUCUCCACCCGAGACUCAGUGAAAUUGAAAUCGCAGUGAAGAUGCUGUGUACCCGCACCUAGACGGAAAGACCCCGUGAACCUUUACUACAGCUUGGCACUGAACAUUGAACCUACAUGUGUAGGAUAGGUGGGAGGCUUUGAAGCACAGUCGCUAGAUUGUGUGGAGCCGUCCUUGAAAUACCACCCUUGUAUGUUUGAUGUUCUAACAUUGGUCCCUUAUCGGGAUUGUGGACAGUGUCUGGUGGGUAGUUUGACUGGGGCGGUCUCCUCCCAAAUAGUAACGGAGGAGCACGAAGGUUAGCUAAUCACGGUCGGACAUCGUGAGGUUAGUGCAAUGGCAUAAGCUAGCUUAACUGCGAGACAGACACGUCGAGCAGGUACGAAAGUAGGUCAUAGUGAUCCGGUGGUUCUGUAUGGAAGGGCCAUCGCUCAACGGAUAAAAGGUACUCCGGGGAUAACAGGCUGAUGAUGCCCAAGAGUCCAUAUCGACGGCAUCGUUUGGCACCUCGAUGUCGGCUCAUCGCAUCCUGGGGCGGUAGUACGUCCCAAGGGUUGGGCUGUUCGCCCAUUAAAGUGGCACGCGAGCUGGGUUCAGAACGUCGUGAGACAGUUCGGUCCCUAUCUGGUGUGGGCGUUGGAUGAUUGAUGGGAGCUGCUCCUAGUACGAGAGGACCGGAGUGGACGAACCGCUGGUGUUCGGGUUGUCAUGCCAAUGGCAUUGCCCGGUAGCUAUGUUCGGAACGGAUAACCGCUGAAAGCAUCUAAGCGGGAAGCCGGCCCAAAGAUGAGUCAUCCCUGAACUUUAAGUUCUGGAAGGGUUGUUAUAGACGAUGACGUUGAUAGGCAGGGUGUGGAAGCGUUGUAAGGCGUUAAGCUAACCUGUACUAAUUGCCCGAGAGGCUUAACC
Molecule: ribosomal RNA, 1080 nt
Filed under: Asterionellopsis glacialis
Lineage: Eukaryota; Bacillariophyta; Plagiogrammaphyceae; Rhaphoneidales; Asterionellopsidaceae
Description: partial Bacterial large subunit ribosomal RNA
Rfam family: Bacterial large subunit ribosomal RNA
Source: RNAcentral